GUCUGGGUGGUGUAGUUUGUUAUCACGCUAGUCUCACACACUAGAGGUCCCCAGUUCAAACCUGGGCUCAAACA
Ipomoea nil (Japanese morning glory) is the source of this 74-nucleotide transfer RNA. It matches the Rfam family "tRNA". Rfam says of the family: Transfer RNA (tRNA) molecules are approximately 80 nucleotides in length. Their secondary structure includes four short double-helical elements and three loops (D, anti-codon, and T loops). Further hydrogen bonds mediate the characteristic L-shaped molecular structure. tRNAs have two regions of fundamental functional importance: the anti-codon, which is responsible for specific mRNA codon recognition, and the 3' end, to which the tRNAs corresponding amino acid is attached (by aminoacyl-tRNA synthetases). tRNAs cope with the degeneracy of the genetic code in two manners: having more than one tRNA (with a specific anti-codon) for a particular amino acid; and 'wobble' base-pairing, i.e. permitting non-standard base-pairing at the 3rd anti-codon position. NCBI's taxonomy places the organism in Eukaryota, Viridiplantae, Streptophyta, Magnoliopsida, Solanales, Convolvulaceae. The record is from Rfam.